This 253-nucleotide ribosomal RNA is filed under the name uncultured bacterium. Its description in RNAcentral is "partial 16S ribosomal RNA". It matches the Rfam family "Bacterial small subunit ribosomal RNA", at positions 524 to 776 of the family's 1533-position model. The record is from RNAcentral.
UCCGGAGGGAGCUAGCGUUAUUCGGAAUUACUGGGCGUAAAGCGCACGUAGGCGGCUUUGUAAGUUAGAGGUGAAAGCCUGGAGCUCAACUCCAGAAUUGCCUUUAAGACUGCAUCGCUUGAAUCCAGGAGAGGUGAGUGGAAUUCCGAGUGUAGAGGUGAAAUUCGUAGAUAUUCGGAAGAACACCAGUGGCGAAGGCGACUCACUGGACACAUAUUGACGCUGAGGUGCGAAAGCGUGGGGAGCAAACAGG